This is a long non-coding RNA of Armigeres subalbatus, 485 nucleotides long. RefSeq lists it as uncharacterized. The record is from RefSeq and is a predicted model, not a curated record. The transcript has 3 exons. Lineage: Eukaryota; Metazoa; Arthropoda; Insecta; Diptera; Culicidae.
CAAGCCUUGGUGCAAACUUCAAGUGGACUGUUCAGACGGCCGAUUUCGAAAUUGGCGGUGCUAAACAUAGUUGAUCGUGAAGUGAAGGACCCCGAAGGUCCUCACAGGGAGGGGGAUGUUGCAACGACCGCCGUUCUAGCAACCCGGCCAAUGAAGUGCGUUACCACGAACCAAUAGGUAGGCUCAGUAAGCAAACGAAACUGUCUAGAUGAGCAAGGAAUAGUUGUAUGAGUAAUGUUAAUAAUUCGGCAUUGAGAGAACUUGUCAUGACAAAGCAGAUUUGCAGAAAAUCACGAGAUAGUUGGAUUCGCGAAAUAGUUUAAUUUGUUAUAAAACUUUAAUUUGUAAUAUUAUUACCACGUACCCUUAAUAUUUCGGAUUCACUGCAAGCAAGAACUUAGAUUGUGCUCAAUUCUAUUUGGUAUAGACCUACAAAACCCUUGUUAAACAGUAACUAGGCAAUCAGUGGAUCAAUUUGAAGGUGC